GUGCAGCAGUCGCGAAUUUUUCUCAAUGGGCGAAAGCCUGAAGGAGCGACGCCGCGUGGAGGAUGAAGGCUUUCGGGUCGUAAACUCCUGUCAUUUGAGAACAAGUGUAGCCAAAUAACUACUGGCUACUUGAUAGUAUCAGAAGGGGAAGGGACGGCUAACUCUGUGCCAGCAGCCGCGGUAAUACAGAGGUCCCAAGCGUUGUUCGGAUUCAUUGGGCGUAAAGGGUGCGUAGGUGGCGCCGUAAGUGGGGUGUGAAAUUUCGGAGCUUAACUCCGAAACUGCAUUCCAUACUGCGGUGCUUGAGGACUGGAGAGGAGACUGGAAUUCAUGGUGUAGCAGUGAAAUGCGUAGAGAUCAUGAGGAAGACCAGUGGCGAAGGCGGGUCUCUGGACAGUUCCUGACACUGAGGCACGAAGGCUAGGGGAGCGAACGGGAUUAGAUACCCCUGUAGU
This 455-nucleotide ribosomal RNA is filed under the name uncultured organism. Its description in RNAcentral is "bacterial SSU rRNA". It matches the Rfam family "Bacterial small subunit ribosomal RNA", at positions 346 to 794 of the family's 1533-position model. The record is from RNAcentral.